This is a small nuclear RNA of Pteronotus mesoamericanus, 190 nucleotides long. RefSeq annotates it as U2 spliceosomal RNA. The transcript has a single exon. The record is from RefSeq and is a predicted model, not a curated record. NCBI's taxonomy places the organism in Eukaryota, Metazoa, Chordata, Mammalia, Chiroptera, Mormoopidae.
UCUGCUUCUCAGCCUUUUGGCUAACAUUAAGUGUAAUAUCUGUUCUUAUCAGCUUAAUAUCUGACGUGUCCUCUAUCUGAGGACAAUAUUUAAAUGGAUUUUUGGAGCUGGGAGAUGGAAUACGAGCUUGCUCUGCCCACUCCGCACAUCCACCAGGUGUUGCAGUACUUCCAGGAAUGGUGCACAAGAA